RNAcentral lists this ribosomal RNA (253 nucleotides) under uncultured bacterium. Its description in RNAcentral is "partial 16S ribosomal RNA". It matches the Rfam family "Bacterial small subunit ribosomal RNA", at positions 524 to 776 of the family's 1533-position model. The record is from RNAcentral.
UACGAAGGGGGCUAGCGUUGCUCGGAAUCACUGGGCGUAAAGCGCACGUAGGCGGCUUUUUAAGUCAGGGGUGAAAUCCUGGAGCUCAACUCCAGAACUGCCUUUGAUACUGAGAAGCUUGAGUCCGGAAGAGGUUGGUGGAACAGCUAGUGUAGAGGUGAAAUUCGUAGAUAUUAGCUAGAACACCAGUGGCGAAGGCGGCCAACUGGUCCGGUACUGACGCUGAGGUGCGAAAGCGUGGGGAGCAAACAGG